GAUGAACGCUGGCGGCGUGCCUAAUACAUGCAAGUCGAGCGAACAGACGAGGAGCUUGCUCCUCUGACGUUAGCGUCGGACGGGUGAGUAACACGUGGAUAACCUACCUAUAAGACUGGGAUAACUUCGGGAAACCGGAUCUAAUACCGGAUAAUAUAUUGAACCGCAUUGUUCAAUAGUGAAAGACGGUUUUGCUGUCACUUAUAGAUGGAUCCUCGCCGCAUUAGCUAGUUGGUAAGGUAACGGCUUACCAAGGCAACGAUGCGUAGCCGACCUGAGAGAGUAAUCGGCCACACUGGAACUGAGACACGGUCCAGACUCCUACGGGAGGCAGCAGUAGGGAAUCUUCCGCAAUGGGCGAAAGCCUGACGGAGCAACGCCGCGUGAGUGAUGAAGGUCUUCGGAUCGUAAAACUCUGUUAUUAGGGAAGAACAAAUGUGUAAGUAACUAUGCACGUCUUGACGGUACCUAAUCAGAAAGCCACGGCUAACUACGUG
RNAcentral lists this ribosomal RNA (497 nucleotides) under uncultured bacterium. RNAcentral describes it as "partial 16S ribosomal RNA". It matches the Rfam family "Bacterial small subunit ribosomal RNA", at positions 28 to 507 of the family's 1533-position model. The record is from RNAcentral.